CCUAGUAUAUUUUAUAUUUUGCCUAUUUUGGAUUCAUUUGGAUUUUGUUGGCUGUUUUGUGUGUAUUUUUUAAAACUUUUGUUUGUCAUUUGUAAAUUUUAUAAAUUUACCACAAUGCAAAGUGAUUAUUUAAGGAAAUUAUUAUUGGAAAAUCCGCAGAUGUUUUAGAAAGAUAUUCAUUGAAGCUGAAAAUAAUUGGAGAUUUAAUUAGAUCCAUAUACAAUUCAGUCAUCAGAAUUGGAUUUUACAGUGCAUUCCAUCAAUUACUGUUAUAAUGCUAUUAUAGAUAGACUGGUAGAGUCUCACAGUUACUACUUUAAGCAGCAGAUGAAAGCAUACAAAAGCCUUCAGGCACAUAAAAGCCUUCACAACUGGAUUUGUUUUGAAACAUUUGAUGUUUUGAUGAUUUCUAUAUUAUUGUUGGAAAGUUGAAGCCAGUUCCAAUGGCACAGCAAAUGCACAUUGUAUGUGUAUUGCCGAUAAUAGUGAAGUUUGCAGCCAUAUUGCAGCAAUCUUAUUUGCAGCUGAGUAUGCCCACAGCAAGACAGAAGAAGAAGAACCCAAUGCAUGUACAGAUGUUACAGCUAUGUACAUUCUCUGGUGAAAAACUAAUGAGUUUUCAAGCUGUUCGGUCAGAGUGAUUGUUGCGCUCUCUAAAUGAACUGAAAUAUAAGACAGCUUUGGCUUCAUGUUGCAGUGAUAUGAAAAUGGUUAGUCAUUUUUAAUUAUAAUGUACUUCUUCAUCAUGAGUAUUUAUGUAUAGGGCUUUUCAUUCACAGUCAUUUGUUUCGAGCUUCUGUCAUGUGUCACAUAAUAUUAAUAUUAUAUCUAUGUCAUACGUUAUUGGUAUAUACCAAUGAUACACACCAAAGACAUAUGGCGUAGAUAUAUUAAUAUUAUGUGACACAUGACAGAUGCUCGAAACAAAUGACAGUCGAUAAAAAGCCCUAUUAGUCUUUUAAGUGUGUAUUAUCAGAUAUCACAUGUAAAUUGUUUUUAUCAUUUUAAUUUGGUCAUUACAGUCCCUUAAUCAAAAAAUAUAUUUUUCAGGUGUCUGUGGAUCUUUUUGUAUGCAAAAAUUUGUAAUAAUUAUUUGAAAUCAUUUUGAGGAUUAUAAGAGUAUGGAAAUAUAUGUGAGAACACAGACUAUUAUAGUUUUGUCCUAUUUUUUAUCAUUCAAUUGUCUUCUUUAAAAUUUAUAAAUAUAAAGCAGAUAGUUUUCAUUGCAAUUCAAUAUAUUGGGUCUUAUUUGUAUGUAUUCAUUUUUGACUAAAGGCUGUAUGACACUAUACAUUUUCUUGUAUCAUUUCUAAUAUCGUUUCUGAUAUGUCAAAAAAAUGCAUAGUGUCAUACACAGAUACAAGAAACGAUACAAGAAUUUGAGUCAGACACAGAUUCUUGUACAAGAACUGCGCCAAUUUCUGCGCAAAGAGCAAAAACGUAAAACCUGCUGGUAAAACAUCUAAAAUGUCAUAAUUACUUACUCAUAAUGGCGGCUGAAAUGAAAAUGGGAUCAUGUAUUGAUGAGUUUAUUUGUGUUUUUGUAGGUAUUAUUUAUAAAUCUUAUAUUGAUACUUAAUAUACUGUUUGGUAUGGACUACUGUUCUACUAAUAACCAUAUAUUUAGCUCCUAGUAAAUUUCAAACUAUAAAUUUAGGUUUCAUGGUGCAUAAUUUUUUACAAAAUACAAUAGCUCCUAAUUUGGAUCAAAUUGAAGAUAAUUCUAAUGCAAAUAUUUUAGCACAAAUUCAAAACAAAAUAAAAACACAAAUAAUCAACCUCAAACAGUCAACGUAAAAUUCUGGUUAACAUUAAAAUGUUAAUUAAAAGUUUAUAAAUUUUAUAAAAUCCUUAAAAUCAGCUGUAGAUGCAGUACUACCAUAACGUGACAUGGGGUGACAAACAAAAUAUCGACCAAUCACGUGCCGAAUUUCUUACAAUUUUCGAUACAAGAACUUGCAUAGUGUCAUACAGGGCACAAAGGUACGUACAAGAAACGAUACAAGAAAAUGUAUACAAGAAACGAUAUCAGAAACGAUAUAUAUAGAAAGGUACGAUUCCGAUAACGACUGCAGACAGCAACUGCAAACAUCAGUUGCAGUUCUCGGCGUUAUGGACGUUACUACUUUGCACUAUUUAUCUGUAUAUGAGACUGAUUCCGACAUCUGACUGCAACUGCUGUCCGGCAGAACGUCAGUUGCUAAUAAUUAUGCAAAUUAUUAGUGCAAAAUAAUGACGUCUGUCAUGGUGACAACUGUAACUGCCAUCUGCAGUCGUUGUCGGAAUGGUACCUUUAAAGUGUGUGGUAUAAUUAUAAUAAUUAUAUAUAUUAUAUAUGUCGGUCUUGACGGUCCAGUUAGCUGGGGCUCAGUCGAUCGACAAGUUUAGUGGAUUUGCGAUUUGCGGUCGCUGGUUCGAGCCUCAGCUAGGUCAUGAAAUUUAUAAAAAGGCCAACGCCGUAGUAUAAAACUCAAUAGAGUCUACGGCUUGGUCUGGAAUAAACUGGCGUCUGAUCGGCCUAUGGAGGAGCGGUACUGGAAGGGAUAAGGGCUUCCGGCUUGGUGAUACUCCUCCAUAGAUCCCUACCGAAGGGCGUUGACGCCUAAGAACGGUGUAUACAUACAUAUAUAUUAUAUAUAACUUAAAUGGUUUAAACUUAAGUUUGUUAUUACAUUGUGACUUAAAUGUUUAAUUUGUUAAUAAAUGAUUAUUAGUUUA
Diabrotica virgifera virgifera (western corn rootworm) is the source of this 2718-nucleotide long non-coding RNA. RefSeq lists it as uncharacterized. The transcript is spliced from 3 exons. Lineage: Eukaryota; Metazoa; Arthropoda; Insecta; Coleoptera; Chrysomelidae. The record is from RefSeq and is a predicted model, not a curated record.